This 382-nucleotide ribosomal RNA is filed under the name uncultured eukaryote. RNAcentral describes it as "partial 18S ribosomal RNA". It matches the Rfam family "Eukaryotic small subunit ribosomal RNA", at positions 592 to 976 of the family's 1831-position model. The record is from RNAcentral.
UGUAAGCGUAUACCACAGUUGUUGCAGUUAAAACGCUCGUAGUCGGAAUUUGGCAGUUCCGGAUGUGUGCACGUCGUGUGCGCACUUCGCGGGGAUUGCUUUUGUGGUCUUGCGUAGGAUGAGGCACUUUUAUUAGUGAACGUCCUCACGCAACCACUUUUUACUGUGAGAAAAUCAGAGUGCUCAAAGCAGGCAUUUGCCGUGAAUGUAUUAGCAUGGAAUAAUAGAAUAGGACUUGGUUCUAUUUUGUUGGUUUGUUGGGACUGAGUAAUGAUUAAGAGGGACAGUUGGGGGCAUUUGUAUUUCGGUGCUAGAGGUGAAAUUCUUAGAUUACCGAAAGACAAACUGCUGCGAAAGCGUCUGCCAAGGAUGUUUUCAUUGA